This 482-nucleotide ribosomal RNA is filed under the name uncultured bacterium. RNAcentral's name for it is "bacterial SSU rRNA". It matches the Rfam family "Bacterial small subunit ribosomal RNA", at positions 29 to 506 of the family's 1533-position model. The record is from RNAcentral.
UUGAACGCUGGCGGCAUGCCUUACACAUGCAAGUCGAACGGCAGCACGGGGGCAACCCUGGUGGCGAGUGGCGAACGGGUGAGUAAUACAUCGGAACGUGCCCUGAAGUGGGGGAUAACGUAGCGAAAGUUACGCUAAUACCGCAUAUUCUGUGAGCAGGAAAGCAGGGGAUCGCAAGACCUUGCGCUUUAGGAGCGGCCGAUGUCGGAUUAGCUAGUUGGUGAGGUAAAGGCUCACCAAGGCGACGAUCCGUAGCGGGUCUGAGAGGAUGAUCCGCCACACUGGGACUGAGAAACGGCCCAGACGCCUACGGGAGGCAGCAGUGGGGAAUUUUGGACAAUGGGCGCAAGCCUGAUCCAGCCAUGCCGCGUGCGGGACGAAGGCCUUCGGGUUGUAAACCGCUUUCAGCCGGAAAGAAAUCGUCAAGGCUAAUAUCCUUGAUGGAUGACGGUACCGGAAGAAGAAGCACCGGCUAACUACGU